CAUGAAGCUGGAUUCGCUAGUAAUCGCGCAUCAGCCACGGCGCGGUGAAUACGUUCCCGGGCCUUGUACACACCGCCCGUCAAGCCAUGGAAGCCGGGAGUGCCUGAAGUACGCGACCGCAAGGAGCGUCCUAAGGUAAAACCGGUGACUGGGGCUAAGUCGUAACAAGGUAAC
This 174-nucleotide ribosomal RNA is filed under the name uncultured bacterium. RNAcentral describes it as "partial 16S ribosomal RNA". It matches the Rfam family "Bacterial small subunit ribosomal RNA", at positions 1319 to 1500 of the family's 1533-position model. The record is from RNAcentral.